AUGGCUCAUCGAGUUCUCAGUCGAUAUCCGCAGAACGAUGGUACAUCAUUCGCAGAAAGUGGUGCAAAGGUUCGAGUACUGCUCGUGAAUGGACUUUGAAGGCUACGUGCGACAAAAACCCGUGCUCAAACCGGCAGGAGAUCAUAGAAUACCGUGCGCAGCGGUGGUCACAUCGACUGGGAGUUGAAGGACACGUUUCACACAUAUGUCAGCCGAGGAUUGCCCGUGCUCAUCACCUUUUUUGACGGAUUUGACGGGGAUCAUGCAGGAGACUGUGCGACAUCAGCCUUGCUUCGCCAGACGUAUUCCCCGGCGUUCCGGAAGUGGCUGAGCGGAGGGAGGGUACUUCGCAGGCCCGAGCAAGAGCUCGUUCGUGACAUGCGGCCGCAUUUGGGACCUGAAGAUCAUGCUACCGGCCCAGUGUGAUUUAGACGGCAUCACGUUAUCGGAUGAAUUCAAACAGUGGAUAGACUUGAAGCAUACAUUCUGCGAAUCCGACUACUUCCCACGGAGCUUGAAGACAUGCUCGCACGAUUGAACCUUCCACUGCAAGGACGUCUACACUCGGGCAUCGACGAUGUGAAGAAUAUGGUUUCGAUAAUACAAGCUUUGAGAAAUACGUAUAAUACACAAUUUAAAAUUACUUCAUCGUUAAUGACUUCCACAUUAAAUUUGGGCACCAAGCAGGAACAUGAAAGGGAACAUGAAAGAAAGAACACGUGAGAAUUAAUUAAAAAA
Molecule: RNA transcript, 738 nt
Organism: Ooceraea biroi (clonal raider ant)
Lineage: Eukaryota; Metazoa; Arthropoda; Insecta; Hymenoptera; Formicidae
Gene name: ERI1 exoribonuclease 3
Source: RefSeq, a predicted model, not a curated record